GAUUUCUGACUUGGCGCACCUGGCCCGCCACGGUUACGUGUGUGAGUGCCGGGAUGCGCCUGUCACUUUUCUAGUAAACCAUUGUGCUCUUCAUUGAGUGUGAUGGGUAGCUAGAUAUUUUACUUUGAAAAAAUUAGAGUGUUUCAAGCAGGCGUUUUGCUAUGAAUACAUUAGCAUGGAAUAAUGAGUUAGGACUUCGGUUCUAUUUUGUUGGUUUCUAGGACUGAAGUAAUGAUUGAUAGGGAUAGUUGGGGGUGCUAGUAUUCAGUGGCCAGAGGUGAAAUUCUUGGAUUCACUGAAGACUAACUUAUGCGAAAGCAUU
This 322-nucleotide ribosomal RNA is filed under the name uncultured Allapsidae. RNAcentral describes it as "SSU rRNA". It matches the Rfam family "Eukaryotic small subunit ribosomal RNA", at positions 634 to 955 of the family's 1831-position model. Lineage: Eukaryota; Cercozoa; Glissomonadida; Viridiraptoridae. The record is from RNAcentral.